CCGUCGUGGCUCCCGUGGCCCUCAGUCCCGGUGCCGCUGAGUGAGUGUGGGCACGUGUACCCUCCUGGUGUGUGUGUCUUACCGUGCCCACUCUUUCAGUGCCGCCGGCGCUCAGCUUCUGUGUCUGUCCCCUUUUUAUGUUAGUUACCCCUCACAGUGUUGUCAGCCCGCGAUCUCGGUGACGUCGACAUGGAGUAAACCCCCCACCUGGACCCUCUGCUCAGAGCGGGGGGUCCAGGGCGUAUGUCUACACAACACAACCUUAGCAACUUUUAGAAAAGCCGGCCUGAGGCAAGAUGGCACAACAACUGGAGCAGCUCCUUACCUGCUGCAUCUGUCUGGACAGGUUCCGCAACCCAAAGCUGCUGCCAUGCCAGCACUCGGUGUGUAUGGAGCCCUGCAUGGAGGGCCUCGUCGACUACGUUCGUCGACAGGUCAAAUGCCCAGAGUGUCGCGCGGAGCACCGGAUCCCCUACAAUGGGGUCCAGGGGUUUCCCUCCAACGUAACACUGCAGAGGUUCCUCGAGGCUCACAUAGAGAUCACUGGAGAAACGCCAGACCCACACACAGGACAAUAUAUGGAAAGAUGUAACGUGUGUAACGAAAAGAACUACUUAUCUGUAUGUUCUCAUUGUGAAAAGAAGAUUUGUGAGGAUUGUAAGGCAGCGCACUUAGACAUUCUCAAACGUGAGAUCGGCCGCAUCAACAAUCAGGUUAAGCGUGCAUCCCACCGCCUCAACGACCAACUGUCCACUGUGGAGCGCAACAUCACCUCCCUCAAGCAGAACACCACCAGCGUGAGCGAUGAAAUUGAAAACAUCUCCAAACGUCUGCAGAAGUCCGUUCGAGACCGCUGUUCUUUUCUGAAGGCAGAGGUGGAGAACUACUACGGCAACGAGUUCAGAAACUUGACGAUGCUCAAGGAGAGUCUGGAUCAGGAGGUCUCCAACAUCGGGGCCAACAUUGAGCUGGCAGAAAAACACAUGGAUGACCAGACGCCCUGGGACGACGCUGAGCUCAUGGACGCUAAGGACAUUUUCCUUAAAACCAUGGAAUUCAUUCGAAGUUUUGAUUACGAAGCGGGUGACUACAGCAGAAGGGCCAGAUUUAAUCCUCCUGACGACCUGAAUAAGCUGACGACAUCCCUGAGUACCCUGGGCGACCUGACCUUCAGUACACCUAACAAGAUGAGCGACGGCUACUCAUCCGGCCCAUCCAUGGGCUCUGGGCUAAUGAAGAGCAAGAGCGACCACAGGCUGGCGGCUCAGUUUAGGGACCAGGAAGACGGCUACGGUUACACCUCAGGCAGGACCUCACCACUCAUGCGCAGACGCUUCGGGGAGAGGAACACCGAGAGGCACGACGAAGAUUCCUCGGCUGACUCUGGGAGGCGGCGGUUCCGGUCACGGUUCAUGCGCAAAGAAGAAGACGAGGAGCGUUCGGUUCGCUUCGCCGAAGAGGACGGACCAAAACGUCAACGAGUAUUCGACACAGAGGACGUCUCGCGCGGCCCGCUGUCCGGGAUCGUCAGACUCUACGACUCACCCCGCGUCAUGAAACGAUUCCAGGAGCGUGAUCAAAAUAAGACUAAAAAGAAGGAAGAGCCACCCAAGCCUGCACAACCCACAUUACCCAAGCCUCCCGCGACCCCCAUCCAGCGCAAGACUUCGCGUCAAACUAGCAAUGAAGACGAGAUAGAUAAGAUCAAGAAACAAAACAAAAAUACAGAUUCAACGUCAGGAGCGACUGCCACAACACCAACAGCAAACACUUCCACACCCUCCACACCUACCACCCCCAAACCCGCAGGUGAAAGAGUCUCCUCCAUCAGAGACGAUGAACGGCAAAGCCGCAGUGAUCGAACAUCCACAUCUCCCAGAUCCUCAGCUAAUCACUCCCCAGCAUCUUCCAUCACUCGGGAAGAUGAUUCCAGUCGGCGGAAUGAAUACAGUCGCUCCAGAGCAGAAAGUAACGCUUCUGGCGCCAACGGUACAACGAGCCGCCCUACUCCUGCCCGCAAAACUAGUGUGGACACUGGAGUGACUAGUGUGGCGCAGCGCGCUUACCCCUUCAGCCGCUCUUCAUCUAAUUCAUCUGUAGGGGAUAAGGAUAAGAACACGAGUGGCACUCGUAGCCCCCGGACCCUUGAUACCGCAGGCUACGAGCGCCGCUUGUCUCGAUCCAACAGCACUGACAGCAAUAAAUCUGGCGAUGGGUCAUCGUCCCCAAAGAAAGCAACGGGUGCGGCUUUCUCCACAGAAGAGCUCAAGAACCGUUUCGUGAGGACAGACUCAAAGCCAUCCACUUCUAAAGUAGAAAGUUCGUCUAGAUCGUCUGGUCCAAGUAACUCUCGUUUUCAGUCACGUUUUUUAGGCCGAGCCGGUACUCCUUCAGUAGAGACCUCGAAGGAAUCAGGGAAUGAAGAUGAAGAUGAUGAAACCACCGAAGAUUCCGAGUCCGAAGAGAGUGAAGAAUCGUCUGAGGAAGAGGAGGAGGAGGAGGAGGAGAAGGAGCCAACGUCAGAAUACUCUCGUGCGGACAUUGGGCCCUUACUGGGGAAGAGUGCCCAGGCUCGCGAUGUAGCCGGUAGUACUAGUUCUAGGAGCACUUGGGGUGACAGAAGUUCAUACCCAUCUGCUAGUACCAGUGGAACUGAUUCGGGUUAUGCAAGUAGAUAUGGCAGUAACAGUGACAACAGUAAUGGCAGCAGUAACAACAGCAGCAGGUACGGAGCCCCUACUUCUAACAGUAGUAGCACCGACGCAGGAGCUACCAGUCACCGGCGCCCAUCAUACCUGGACAGUGCAAAACCUCAGGCCAAGGAAAAGGAAGACGAAUUUGAGUCCAAAUAUCCCUACUCAAGCAAGUACCUGAACCGCUCUCGGGCCGCCGUGCCCGAGGAGGAUUCCAAACCUACUUUCCAAAGCCGAUUUCUCAACCGAUCCAAAAGUUCGGCUGUUUUAGGUCCCGAUGAUAAUGAUGAAUCUACUCCCACCACCACCCACGGCACUGGCCGGGCCCGCUUCGAAGAACUGAAGGAACGGCGACAGAGACUUGCACGAAGCAAGAGCUCAGCAGGUCUGGAAGAUGAUGAAGGGACAGCCGCCGAUACCAAUUCAGCCGCCAAUUAUCGACCUCGUUAUGGCCGAGUAGAACCUGAAGCCUCCGCCACGACGCGUAACACUGCUGCAGGAACAUCAUCAGUAGGAGCAGCAGGAAGCAGUAGUAAUGCUGGAGGUGACAAUAGCGGCUCAUCUUCCACUCAACUCUCUAAUUGGGCCCGUUACCUUAAAAACAAAUAUGGCAACAGAAGUGGAGCAGCAGCAGGAGGAGGAGACAGUUCCAGUAGAAGCACGGGCACCGGUCUCAGCGGUAGCACGAGCACCAGUGCUGGUAGCGGGCUGGGCAGCAAUACUAGCAGCGCCAGCGGUAUUAUGGGUAGUGGUUCACGCCCUGGUACUAGUAGCACAGUAGGAGGAAGAGCAAUCUCCCGCUCUCGGUCCUCGCAUCUCCUUGGUCUAGCCAAAGAGGGAGAAUCAUCUGAAGACGAUUCAAAAAACGUGCACGCUACCCCUACUUUCCCACCAGCAGGUACACAGGUUCCUACUCCGUUCGGAAGUUUACAUAGGAGCCAGUACCUGCAGAAGCAACGCCUCUUAAUUAAGAUCGGGAGUAGGGGUAGUGAACCAGGAAACUUUACAUGGCCAAGAGGCAUAGCUGUUGGACCCGACAACAGCAUUGUGGUUGCCGACUCGAGCAACCACCGCGUGCAAGUAUUUGAUCAACAGGGUAAGUUCAUAAAAGAAUUCGGCUCCUACGGGAGCGCAGAAGGUGAAUUUGAUUGUUUGGCUGGUGUGGCUGUCAACAGAAUCGGUCAAUACAUCAUUGCCGAUCGCUACAACCACAGGAUACAAGUAUUUGAUCCAUCCGGAAUGUUCCUUCGGUCAUUCGGAAGUCAAGGCGGUGGCGAUGGGCGGUUUUCCUAUCCAUGGGGUGUGACAACUGAUGCCCUCGGCUUCAUCUACGUCUGCGACAAGGAGAACCAUCGCGUGCAAGUCUUCCAGUCUGACGGCUCCUUUGUGGGCAAGUUCGGGUCAAUGGGCAACAAGCCCGGGCAACUGGAGCACCCGCACUACAUAGCCGUCUCCUCCACCAACCGCGUCAUCGUCUCAGACUCCAACAACCACCGCAUCCAAAUAUUUGAUAUUAAUGGAAAGGUUACUACAACCUUCGGUUCUGAGGGCAGCGACGAAGGACAGUUCAAGUUCCCAAGGGGAGUGGCUGUGGACGACCAAGGUUACAUCUUCGUAGCUGAUAGCGGUAACAACCGUAUCCAGAUCUUCCACCCCGAUGGCUCCUUCCUGAGGGCCUUCGGCUGCUGGGGAUCUGGAGAAGGAGAGUUCAAGGGCCUCGAGGGUGUGGCAGUGAUGUCCAACGGGAACAUCCUCGUCUGUGACCGCGAGAACCACCGCGUCCAGGUCUUCUGAGAAGUGGCGGUUCCUGGCGCUUAGUGCCCAGGUGGGUGCGCCUGAAGACCCCGUAUGGCCGCAUACCAUCGGUAGUGACAUAGGCUCAGGUCAUUAGAUAUUUCGAGGGGAGAUGAAGGAAAACGGAGCUCCCCGCCAGCCAAGACACGUAGCACAAAGCUACCCAGUAAAAGACCACAGCAACAUCAACUUAUGCCUGGAAUGUAGACAAGACUUUCUUUUCCCAGCCAAUCAGAGGUGAAGAGGUGAAUUCUGUUCUACAAUGAAAACAAUUAUUGUCGACGAUGAGAAGAAUUAGUGGAGUGAUGAACUUGCCUGAUGGUCGUUUCCUUACAUGCAUAUUAUUCGGGUUAAGCGGAUUUUCCUUGUCAAUUCGCUGAUAACCUCAAGGGAGAUAAGAUUUAGACCCAGGAUAUUGUUGGAUGUCAUAUCGAGGGUGCACGACGGUAGGCAGUCUAGGGCACAGUGAACUCGCAGUCCAAGUUGGGGUAUUUCAUUGCAUUUCAUUCCAAAAAUGCCUUAAUAUACCAUAACACCCAACUUACAAUGAAGACUAGUGCUGUAAAGUUCCAUAUAUAUGAUUCAGACUCCACUUUGCCCUAGACCUGCAGUCUACCCUACUUGUGAUUGCUGGGUUACAGAUCGUCUGAAUGUAACGUUGUGUACAUUAGAAUUUAAUAUAACACGUUUGUACAUUGUACAUAAGUGCAUUUUCUAUGAAUAUAUGGAAGCAUCAGCGCUAAAAGUAUCAAUUGUCUGCAAAAGCUCGUGAUAGCUCAUCAUUGUUACAAAAUUGAAUGUGUGGGACUUUGUAAAAUAUUUUGUUUUGUUUUGUUGUUCCCAGUGUAGGCGUAAACAAGCCAACACCGUGUGGGGAUACUCAGCCAUGAUGACUGGUCACAUGGAGUCGUAUGUGUCUUAACCUUCAUCUUUUUUCACGACUGAUAAUUACCAUUUUUUAAAGUCAUUUGAUAUAUAAUGGAUCCUUCCGUAACGUGAACUUAGUUCAUUAACCUAAUAAUUUAAUAGAAUGCAUACACAGCAGUUUGCUUUUAGUUGAUUACAAUGAUGCAGAUGCACAGUAAUAUAGUAACUGUACCGUGAGCAGUGUAACAUGUUUCUUAUUUGAGUUUCAAUGAGAAAAAAGGGUCGAAGAUUUGUCACUGAAACAGCUACAUAUUGUAUAUCUUUUGGAAGAAGCAUUAUGUAAUGUAUAUCUCAGAAUAAUAUACAGGUAUAUCAAUGUUGGAUACAUAUCGUUGUUUGUAGUUCUAAUAAGCAUUUUUUCUUAUUUACACAUUGUAUAGUUAGGUCAGAUUCAAAUAAUUAUCAAACAAAUGAAGAUCUAUAUAAUUUGAUUUUCUCAUAAGAAACCCACAUAUAUAAAUAUAUAAAAUAUAUAUAAUUUUUGUAAGACACUCUAUUAUACACUGUAAUACUCCAGUUUAUGGCUUGUUUUCUCAACAGUAUUGAAGUCCAGUUUUUGGAGAUACAGUUAGCAUUGAGUGAUACACUUCAGUAUCAUCUGCCAAGUUCAGUUAUUGAAACUUAGUAUUAAAUUAAUAUCGGCGUUGGCUACACAGUUUGUUGCUCAGUAUUGAGUGUAUUUUCACAUAUUGGUUUCCUAGCUGUCAGUAAGCCAAGCAUUGUCUAGUUGUCAUUUUCUUUUUAUUUCUUGAAUGAAAGAUUGUCAGUGUCUCUGGUCACUUUCCUAGAAGCUGAAAAUAAAAAGAUAAGUUGAA
This 6229-nucleotide unclassified non-coding RNA is filed under the name Homarus americanus (American lobster). RNAcentral describes it as "rING finger protein nhl-1-like, transcript variant X1". Lineage: Eukaryota; Metazoa; Arthropoda; Malacostraca; Decapoda; Nephropidae. The record is from RNAcentral.